This 65-nucleotide transfer RNA is filed under the name Altiverruca navicula. RNAcentral's name for it is "tRNA-Thr". Lineage: Eukaryota; Metazoa; Arthropoda; Thecostraca; Verrucomorpha; Verrucidae. The record is from RNAcentral.
GUCUAUGUAGUUUAUAAAAAAAUAUCGGUCUUGUAAACCGAAAUAAGAUUUCUGUCUCCUAGACU